GGGCAGAAAUAGUUAACACAAGGAGGUGGUCGCAUCCUUUUCCAACAGGAGGUCAGAGGGGGCAGCAUCCUUCUAUCAUAUAGACGAGCAAAGGAAUCACUCCCACCAACUAGGAGCAGAUGAGGCCUGCUGGUACUGAUGUCACAAGAUUUUAAAGCAAGGGUCUGUUUAGGGGGAUCAGCUAAUGACUUCUUUGCCCCACAACGCAAGUCAAGUAGAACAUUACGACACUCUUGAGGUGAAGAUGCAGCUGGUGGACAAGAAGCACCCUCCCGAAAGUCAUGCUGUCUCAGUGUUCCAUCUUCACUUGCACUCCAAACCACAUUGGGAUUUCCAACUUCAACAGCUAAUUUUUUUACUCUUCUAGUGUGACAUUGAUACACCGCUGAGGGAGCAAAGGCAUUAUUGUCUGGACCUCUCCCGCUUAGGCGAGACAAAUUAAACAACCGAAUUCCUGCAUCUCCAGCUCCAGAGACCACAAGCUCAUCAGAAGUUUC
Molecule: unclassified non-coding RNA, 497 nt
Filed under: Hevea brasiliensis (rubber tree)
Lineage: Eukaryota; Viridiplantae; Streptophyta; Magnoliopsida; Malpighiales; Euphorbiaceae
Source: RNAcentral